ACUCCGGUUGAUCCUGCCGGACCUCACUGCUAUCGGGGUGAGACUAAGCCAUGCAAGUCAAGGCCCAUAGCCACCUGUGGGCCUGGCGUACGGCUCAGUAACACGUGGCCAACCUGCCCUGAGGAGGCGGAUAACACCGGGAAACUGGUGUAUAAACCGCCAUAGGUGAGAGGUUCUGGAACGACCUCUCGCUGAAAAAUUUACACAGGGAUGCCUGUGUAAAUGCCUCAGGAUGGGGCUGCGGCCCAUCAGGUAGUUGGUGGGGUAACGGCCCACCAAGCCUAUAACGGGUACGGGCCCUGAGAGGGGGAGCCCGGAGAUGGACUCUGAGACAAGAGUCC
This 341-nucleotide ribosomal RNA is filed under the name Candidatus Caldarchaeum sp. RNAcentral's name for it is "bacterial SSU rRNA". It matches the Rfam family "Archaeal small subunit ribosomal RNA", at positions 1 to 317 of the family's 1478-position model. The record is from RNAcentral. Lineage: Archaea; Thermoproteati; Nitrososphaerota; Candidatus Caldarchaeales; Candidatus Caldarchaeaceae.